Molecule: ribosomal RNA, 445 nt
Filed under: Babesia sp.
Lineage: Eukaryota; Apicomplexa; Aconoidasida; Piroplasmida; Babesiidae
Description: SSU rRNA
Rfam family: Eukaryotic small subunit ribosomal RNA
Source: RNAcentral
UUGGAGGGCAGUCUGGUGCCAGCAGCCGCGGUAAUUCCAGCUCCAAUAGCGUAUAUUAAAGUUGUUGCAGUUAAGAAGCUCGUAGUUGAAUUUCUGCCUUAUCAUUAAUUUCGCUUCCGAACGUAAUUUUAUUGAUUUGGCAUCUUCUGGAUUUAUAUUUUUAUUAAUAUUUUUCCAGUAUUUACUUUGAGAAAACUAGAGUGUUUCAAACAGGCUAUUGCCUUGAAUACUACAGCAUGGAAUAAUGAAGUAGGACUUUGGUUCUAUUUUGUUGGUUAUCGAACCAUAGUAAUGGUUAAUAGGAGCAGUUGGGGGCAUUCGUAUUUAACUGUCAGAGGUGAAAUUCUUAGAUUUGUUAAAGACGAACUACUGCGAAAGCAUUUGCCAAGGAUGUUUUCAUUAAUCAAGAACGAAAGUUAGGGGAUCGAAGACGAUCAGAUACCGU